This 385-nucleotide transfer RNA is filed under the name Microcystis sp. KLL-C005. RNAcentral's name for it is "16S-23S ribosomal RNA intergenic spacer". The stretch from base 136 to 209 matches the Rfam family "tRNA". The record is from RNAcentral. Lineage: Bacteria; Bacillati; Cyanobacteriota; Cyanophyceae; Chroococcales; Microcystaceae.
AAAGGGAGACCUAAUUCAGGUAGGAGACGAAAAAAAAGUAGUCGCUACCAAGAAUCAAUCCCAAAAGGUCGGAGCGAGGCGAAAUUGGCUUUCAAACUAGGUUCUGGGUUCAAACAAGACCUGAAUCAGGAACAAGGGCUAUUAGCUCAGGUGGUUAGAGCGCACCCCUGAUAAGGGUGAGGUCCCUGGUUCGAGUCCAGGAUGGCCCACCUGCACAGGUGGCAAAAACAAGAGAAGCGAGGAAUCAGCACCUUAUCUUACUGACAUAGUAAGAGAGAAUGCUGGCUCUGAGUAAAGAGUCCAGAGGAACCUUGAAAACUGCAUAGAGCUAGGUGAAAAAGCCAAAAAAGAAGACCGCAAGGUCAAGCUAAUAAGGGCUAACGGU